This 231-nucleotide ribosomal RNA is filed under the name uncultured bacterium. RNAcentral describes it as "partial 16S ribosomal RNA". It matches the Rfam family "Bacterial small subunit ribosomal RNA", at positions 16 to 237 of the family's 1533-position model. The record is from RNAcentral.
AUCAUGGCUCAGGAUGAACGCUAGCUACAGGCUUAACACAUGCAAGUCGAGGGGCAGCAUGGUCUUAGCUUGCUAAGGCCGAUGGCGACCGGCGCACGGGUGAGUAACGCGUAUCCAACCUGCCUUACGACUCUUGGACAGCCUUCUGAAAGGGAGAUUAAUACAAGAUGUUAUCAUGGGUAAGCAUUUUCACAUGAUUAAAGGUUUACCGGUGUAAGAUGGGGAUGCGUU